This 296-nucleotide ribosomal RNA is filed under the name uncultured bacterium. RNAcentral describes it as "partial 16S ribosomal RNA". It matches the Rfam family "Bacterial small subunit ribosomal RNA", at positions 775 to 1067 of the family's 1533-position model. The record is from RNAcentral.
GGAUUAGAUACCCUGGUAGUCCACACCGUAAACGAUGAAUGCCAGUCGUCGGGUAGUAUACUAUUCGGUGACACACCUAACGGAUUAAGCAUUCCGCCUGGGGAGUACGGUCGCAAGAUUAAAACUCAAAGGAAUUGACGGGGGCCCGCACAAGCGGUGGAGUAUGUGGUUUAAUUCGACGCAACGCGCAGAACCUUACCCAGCCUUGACAUCCCUGGACAACCAUAGAGAUAUGGCUUUCUCUCGCAAGAGAGACCGGGUGACAGGUGCUGCAUGGCUGUCGUCAGCUCGUGCCG